UGGGGAAUAUUGGACAAUGGGCGAAAGCCUGAUCCAGCCAUGCCGCGUGAGUGACGAAGGCCUUCGGGUUGUAAAGCUCUUUUACCAGGGACGAUAAUGACGGUACCUGGAGAAUAAGCCCCGGCAAACUUCGUGCCAGCAGCCGCGGUAAUACGAAGGGGGCUAGCGUUGUUCGGAAUUACUGGGCGUAAAGCGCACGUAGGCGGAUUGUUAAGUCAGAGGUGAAAUCCCGGAGCUCAACUUCGGAACUGCCUUUGAUACUGGCAAUCUAGAGUCCGGAAGAGGUUAGUGGAAUUCCCAGUGUAGAGGUGAAAUUCGUAGAUAUUGGGAAGAACACCAGUGGCGAAGGCGGCCAACUGGCUCGAUACUGACGCUGAGGUGCGAAAGCGUGGGGAGCAAACAGGAUUAGAUACCCGUGUAGUCCCUGAGCGGGCUGGCAAGGCGCAU
Molecule: ribosomal RNA, 447 nt
Filed under: uncultured bacterium
Lineage: Bacteria
Description: bacterial SSU rRNA
Rfam family: Bacterial small subunit ribosomal RNA
Source: RNAcentral